GUACCGUGAGGGAAAGGUGAAAAGUACCCUGAGUAAGGGGGUGAAAUAGAACCUGAAACCGUACGCUUACAAGCGGUCGGAGCCCAUGAGUUGGGUGACGGCGUGCCUUUUGCAUAAUGAGCCUACGAGUUACCAUAUAUGGCGAGAUUAAGGUCUAGAGGACUGUAGUCGAAGCGAAAGCGAGUCUUAACAGGGCGAAUAGUCAUAUGUGGUAGACGCGAAACUUUGUGAUCUACCCAUGGCCAGGGUGAAGGUUGGGUAACACUAACUGGAGGCCCGAACCAGUACACGUUGAAAAGUGUUUGGAUGAGCUGUGGGUAGGGGUGAAAGGCCAAUCAAACUGAGAGAUAGCUCGUACUCCCCGAAAUGCUUUUAGGAGCAGCGUGUGGAGAUGUUUGUUAGAGGUAGAGCUACCGAUUGGACUAGGGGGAGUCACAUCCUACCAAAUCCAGACGAACUCCGAAUGCUAAUAAAUUAUCCAUGCAGUGAGGGUUAGGGUGCUAAGGUCCUAAUCCGAGAGGGAAAGAACCCAGACCUACGGCUAAGGUCCCUAAAUCCGCGCUAAGUUGAACUAAGGAGGUCCAAUUGCUUAGACAGCCAGGAUGUUGGCUUGGAAGCAGCCAUUCAUUUAAAGAGUGCGUAACAGCUCACUGGUCGAGCGAUAGGGCAUCGAUAAUAAUCGGGCAUCAAGUGCGGUACCGAAGCCUAGGAUAGUAAUAUGGUAGGGGAGCAUUCUCUGUGGGGCGAAGAUGUGCUGUGAGGCAUGUUGGACUGCAGAGAAGCGCAAAUGUAGGCAUAAGUAACGAUAAUGCGGGCGAGAAACCCGCACACCGAUAGACUAAGGUUUCCCCGGCAAUGCUAAUCAGCCGGGGGUUAGUCGGGACCUAAGGCGAACCCGAGAGGGGUAGUCGAUGGACAAUCGAUUAAUAUUUCGAUACUACCCAUAACUGCGAUGGGGUGACGGAGGAGUGAAAGUCUCGCGUACUGACGGAAUAGUACGUUGAAGCGUGUAGGUAUAUUGGAUGUAGGCAAAUCCGCAUUCGAUGCUGAACGUGAUAGUACCACAACGCUACGGCAGCGUGGAUAGUAGACCUAAUCAGACUUCCGAGAAAACCCUCUAAGCUACAGGUUAUGGGUACCCGUACCGUAAACCGACACAGGUAGUCAAGGAGAGAAUCCUGAGGUGCUCGAGUGAUUCAUGGCUAAGGAACUAGGCAAAAUGACCCUGUAACUUCGGGAGAAGGGGUCCCUACGUGAGUAGGGCGCAGCGAAACGAUCCAGGCGACUGUUUAUCAAAAACACAUGGCUUUGCGAACUUGAAAGAGGAAGUAUAAGGCCUGACACCUGCCCGGUGCUGGAAGGUUAAGGGGGGGAGUUAGCUUCGGCGAAGCUCUGAACUGAAGCCCCAGUAAACGGCGGCCGUAACUAUAACGGUCCUAAGGUAGCGAAAUUCCUUGUCGGGUAAGUUCCGACCUGCACGAAUGGUGCAACGAUCUGGAUACUGUCUCGGCCAUGAGCUCGGUGAAAUUGUAGUAACGGUGAAGAUGCCGUUUACCCGCAACGGGACGGAAAGACCCCGUGAACCUUUACUAUAGCUUCACAUUGGUAUUGGGUAAAUGAUGUGUAGGAUAGGAGGGAGACUUUGAUCAUGCGUCGCUAGGCGUAUGUUAGUCAUUGGUGAAAUACCUCCCUUUAUUUAUCUGAUGCCUAAUCUGGAAACAGAGACAGUGUGUGGUGGGUAGUUUGACUGGGGUGGUCGCCUCCAAAAGUGUAACGGAGGCUUUCAAAGGUACCCUCAGCAUGUUUGGUAAUCAUGCGAAGAGCGCAAUAGCAUAAGGGUGCUUGACUGUGAGGCCAACAAGCCGAUCAGGUAGGAAACUAGGAUAUAGUGAUCCGGCGGUUCUGUAUGGAAGGGCCGUCGCUCAAAGGAUAAAAGGUACUCCGGGGAUAACAGGCUGAUCUCCCCCAAGAGUUCAUAUCGACGGGGAGGUUUGGCACCUCGAUGUCGGCUCAUCGCAUCCUGGGGCGGUAGUACGUCCCAAGGGUUGGGCUGUUCGCCCAUGAAAGCGGUACGCGAGCUGGGUUCAGAACGUCGUGAGACAGUUCGGUCCCUAUCUGCCGUGGGUGUAGGAUACUUGAGAGGAGUUGCCCCUAGUACGAGAGGACCGGGGUGAACGAUCCACUGGUGGACCUGUUGUGGCGCCAGCCGCAGUGCAGGGUAGCUAUGAUCGGAAAGGAUAACCGCUGAAGGCAUCUAAGCGGGAAGCCCCCCUCAAAACAAGGUAUCCCUGAGGGCCGUGGUAGACCACCACGUCGAUAGGCCGGAGGUGUAAGCGCAGCAAUGCGUUCAGCUGACCGGUAC
RNAcentral lists this ribosomal RNA (2362 nucleotides) under Hemiselmis virescens. RNAcentral describes it as "partial Bacterial large subunit ribosomal RNA". It matches the Rfam family "Bacterial large subunit ribosomal RNA", at positions 498 to 2901 of the family's 2925-position model. Lineage: Eukaryota; Cryptophyceae; Cryptomonadales; Hemiselmidaceae. The record is from RNAcentral.